UGGGGAAUUUUGCACAAUGGGGGAAACCCUGAUGCAGCGACGCCGCGUGAUUUAGAAGGCCUUCGGGUUGUAAAAAUCUUUUCUAUGGGAAGAAAAUGACAGUACCAUAGGAAUAAGGACCGGCUAAUUACGUGCCAGCAGCCGCGGUAAUACGUAAGGUCCGAGCGUUGUCCGAAAUCAUUGGGCGUAAAGGGUACGUAGGCGGGUAAGCAAGUUAGAAGUGAAAUCCUAUAGCUCAACUAUAGUAAGCUUUUAAAACUGCUCAUCUUGAGGUAUGGAAGGGAAAGUGGAAUUCCUAGUGUAGCGGUGAAAUGCGCAGAUAUUAGGAGGAAUACCGGUGGCGAAGGCGACUUUCUGGCCAUAACCUGACGCUGAGGUACGAAAGCGUGGGUAGCAAACAGG
Molecule: ribosomal RNA, 402 nt
Filed under: bacterium
Lineage: Bacteria
Description: partial 16S ribosomal RNA
Rfam family: Bacterial small subunit ribosomal RNA
Source: RNAcentral